RNAcentral lists this long non-coding RNA (1504 nucleotides) under Lynx pardinus (Iberian lynx). The record is from RNAcentral. Lineage: Eukaryota; Metazoa; Chordata; Mammalia; Carnivora; Felidae.
GCUCUCUUCUCCUGCUAAGCUUUGCUGCCCGGUAGUAAUUAAAACCUUCUGCCACCGCCAUAGCUACUGCUGCUGCUGGAACCGCCAUAGCCACCUUGGUUUCGUGGUUGGGCAAAGUGUUGGCCUCCCCCACCAUAGGGGCCAGAGUUUCUGCCUCCAAAAUCUCCUCCUUUCGUGGGUCCGAAAUUUGAAGAAUGACUGUUGUAAUUGCCAAACUCAUUAUAGCUUCUGCCUCCUCCAAAGUUGCUUCCAUCAGAUCCAUUAUAAUCGUCCCCACUGCCACCAUAUCUAUCACCCCUUUGAUGGCCACCAAAGCCACUUCACCCACCGAUGUUUCCUCUGCAACCAAAGUUGUCAUCCACCACCUCCACGACUACCACCAAAGUUUCCAGAAUCACUUGGAUCUCUUUGGCCGGAUGAAGAACUAACCACCUCUUGCUUAAAUAGACCUUUCCUUACUUCACAGUUGUGGCCAUUCACAGCAUGGUAUUCUUGAAUGACAACCUUGUCUACAGAGUUAUGGUUGUCAAAUGUUACAAAAGCAAAGUCUCUCUCGCCACUGUCUCGGGCAGUCAUGAGGACAAUCGCUCCAAUUUUCCCUACUGCUCAAAAUAAUUUCUUUUUUUUUUUUUUUUAAUUUUUUUUUCAACGUUUAUUUAUUUUGGAACAGAGAGAGACAGAGCAUGAACGGGGGAGGGGCAGAGAGAGAGGGAGACACAGAAUCGGAAACAGGCUCCAGGCUCUGAGCCAUCAGCCCAGAGCCCGACGCGGGGCUCGAACUCACGGACCGCGAGAUCGUGACCUGGCUGAAGUCGGACGCUUAACCGACUGCGCCACCCAGGCGCCCCAAAAUAAUUUCUUUUUUUUUUAAAUAUUUUUAUAUGUUUUUAUUUAUUUUUCAGAAAGAGAGAGAGAGAGAGAAAGCAUGAGUGGGGGAGGGGCUGAGAGAGAGGGAGACACAGAAUACGAAGCAGGCUCCAGGCUCCGAGCUGUCAGCACAGAGCCCGACCCAGGGCUCGAACUCAUGGACUGUGAUCAUGACCUGAGCUGAAGUCAGACGCUCAACUGACUGAGCCACCCAGGUGCCCCUCAAAAUAAUUUCUUAGAUGGUGUUCUUCAGUGUCUUCUUUAAUGCCACCAACAAAAACCUUUUUCACAGUAAAUGAGCACAAGGUCUUUGAGAAUCUUCUCUUGGGACAGCCCUUUUUGGUUCCACAACUCUUCCACCUACCAUGGCUGUGUCCACCUCCUCCACAGUGGCCUGCAUGACAAACCCAAAGCCUCUGGAGUGCUUGGUGUUUGGAUCUCUCAUCACCACACGGUCCGUAGGCAUUCCCCGUUAUUCAAAAUGGCGCCUCAGGCUCUCCUCCAUUGUUUCUAAAGGUCAAGCCACCAACAAAGGGCUUCUGCAGCCUUUCAGGCUCUUUGGGAGACUCUGACUUAGAACAGCGGUGGGAGAUGAGACUUUAAUGAUGCUUACUUCGCAGUAUCCAUGAGCAGCAAG